This 107-nucleotide small nuclear RNA is filed under the name Saimiri boliviensis boliviensis (Bolivian squirrel monkey). The record is from RNAcentral. Lineage: Eukaryota; Metazoa; Chordata; Mammalia; Primates; Cebidae.
GUGCUCGAUUCAGCAGCACAUAUACUAAAAUUGGAAGGAUACAGAGAAGAUUAGCAUGGCCCCUGCGCAAAGAUGACAUGCAGAUUCAUGAAGCGUUCCAUAUUUAA